This 253-nucleotide ribosomal RNA is filed under the name uncultured bacterium. Its description in RNAcentral is "partial 16S ribosomal RNA". It matches the Rfam family "Bacterial small subunit ribosomal RNA", at positions 524 to 776 of the family's 1533-position model. The record is from RNAcentral.
GACAGAGGGUGCAAACGUUGUUCGGAAUUACUGGGCGUAAAGCGCGUGUAGGCGGCUUCGUAAGUCGGAUGUGAAAGCCCUGGGCUCAACCUAGGAAGUGCACUCGAAACUUCGAAGCUGGAGUCCUGGAGAGGAAGGCGGAAUUCUCGGUGUAGAGGUGAAAUUCGUAGAUAUCGAGAGGAACACCGGUGGCGAAGGCGGCCUUCUGGACAGUGACUGACGCUGAGACGCGAAAGCGUGGGGAGCAAACAGG